UCCAUUACAUGUAAAUAAUUUGAGCAACAAGUUGCAUCAUCUACCCUAUCAAGGUAGCCCUUUAAUCAGGCAUCAAAC
Molecule: transfer RNA, 78 nt
Filed under: Daphnia pulex (common water flea)
Lineage: Eukaryota; Metazoa; Arthropoda; Branchiopoda; Diplostraca; Daphniidae
Description: partial tRNA-Gln
Source: RNAcentral